This is an unclassified non-coding RNA of 275 nucleotides. The stretch from base 1 to 46 matches the Rfam family "Eukaryotic small subunit ribosomal RNA", at positions 1786 to 1831 of the family's 1831-position model.
AAGUCGUAACAAGGUUUCCGUAGGUGAACCUGCGGAAGGAUCAUUAACACGAAUUUAUAUUCUAUCCAAUAUCAAAACCAAACGUGAACUUUUCCCCUCCCUAUAUAUUUAUAUACUACGGUAUUUUAUAUAGGCUAACCUUUUUUAUUUUAAACCCUUUUAACUUCAACUAGUUUUAAUACUCUAAGAAUAUUAAAACAACUAACUAAAAGAAAAACUCAAGGUUAUUCGAAAGAGCAACUCUUAGUUUUUUUUUUCGAUUUUACGAAAAAAAU